CUUCUAAUUUGGGUCAUUUUUAACCAUACCGGAACCUAUUCAAUCCCUAAACUCUCUCUUAACAUUCCCCAGGAUUCAAGAGUGAAUCUAAGGCCAAACUACCCAAGUCUAUCAUCAAAAGUCUCAUUAAACUAGCGGGGAGUGCUUCUAUAGCAUUGCUGUUGUGUUGAGGAUUCCUUUAAGUUAAAUAAAUAUUUGGUUGAAGGUUAUUGUUUCUGUUUGAGCAUGAUUUGUGGAGAAUUAUGGUUCCGCCAGUUCCAUGGAAAGGUUGACUUAGAGGUUUGGGUAGGCAGUUUGACGGACCCCUAGAGUAAAAAAUUUCAAUUCCAACUGUUGAUCGAUGGACUCCAUAUCAUCCACAGUGCAGUCGAGGCUAGAGGUCCUUAUGUUUUGAUUUUAUAUAUAGACUUAUGGGUAUGUCAGGGCCUUGUCUCAACUAUGUUAUGUUAGUUAGAUGCUUUUAGAGGCUUUUGUGGACCUAUGGAUACCUAUGGUAAGUUACAGAGGGUUACAAUUGAGGGCGGCAUAUAUAUAUAUAUAUAUAUAUAUAUAUAUAUAGGCGCUUCAAAUAUGGUAAGUUUAUCGGGUUUUUUAUGGAAUGGUCGUAGCAUACGUAAGACAUUAGAUGCAUCUCCACCUUACCUAUGUUGAGGUGUGACAAUCUGAACGGAACGCUCUUCUGAGUCAACUUGGUCAAUGGAGUGAUGAUAGUAACUACUCAAACCUAAGAAACUCGUGCUCUUUGUUGUGGUAGAAGGUUUGGGCCAACUCUGAGCUGCCUCAAUCUUCUUCGGAUCUACCUUGAUCCCAUAAUUAGAUACUGCAUGGCCCAAGAAUACUAUUGAGACCAACCAAAAUUCACAAAUAAAGAACUUAACAUACAACUUCUUCUCCCUUAAUUUCUGAAGCACAAUCCUUAAAUGCUACUCGUGCUUCUCCCUACUAUGGAAAUAUACCAAGAUAUCAUCAAUGAGCACAUUGAGAAAAGAAUCCAAAUACGGCUAGAACACACUCUUCAUCAAAUGCAUUAAAGUUAAGGGAAUUAAUCAAACCAAAAGACAUCACCAGAAACUCAUAAUGCUCAUAACAAGUCCUAAAAGUUGUCUUAGGAAUGUUUGAAGCCCUUAUCUUCAACUAGUAAUACCCCGAUCUCAAGUCAAUUUUUGAGAACACCCUAGUGCCCUGAAACUGAUCAAAUAAAUCAUCAAUGCAUGGCAGUGGGUACUUGAUCUAGACAGUAACCUUGUUCCUUGUUCAACUACAUUUAAUCAAUACACAUUCUCAUGGAACCAUCCUUCUUCUUCACAAACAACAGCGACGCACCCCGAGGUGAUACUAUAUUGACCAUAUAGGUCAUUUUGAGUUUUAGCUCCCUAUUUCAUGAUUGAGACCAUUCAUAGCACUAUUUGAUGAUCUAUGACUUGUGUGUGUGAUAUGUUUCGAUUUUUAGAAAGUUUAACUCUGAAUUUUCAAAGAAAAUUUGAUUUUUGAACCCCUCCAUUCCAACCAUGGCAACUCCGGCAUGGCCAACGUCAUGUUCUUAGCGUGAUAAUCAAGAAUAUCAUGGUACGAAGAUAGCCAAUCCGUACCCAAGAUCACAUCAAAGUCUACCAUAUCUAAUAAUAGAAAGUCUGCUCUCGUCUCAAAAACACAUAUAGUGACCAUAAAGAACUAAUAAACGUGAUCCACCACAAUAGAAUCCCUAACUGGUGUAGAUACAUGGACAGGGGUAACAAGCGAAUCAUAUGGCAUAUUCACACAAGAAGCAAAGUAUUAUGACACAUAUGAAUAAGUAGAGCCAGGAUCAAACAAUAUCAAACCUUCCAUGGGGCACACAUAAACAAUACCUAUGAUAACUGCAUCAGAAGUGACAACCUCGGUCCUCCUUGGGAAUGCAUAGCAUCUAGCUUGACCUCCACUUGACUGAGCUCCUCCUCUAGGACCACCACGUCCUAUAUGACCUCCACCUCGAACUGAUUGAGCGGUUGGAAAUAGGUGCAUUAUUUCUUGAUGUUCCCCAAGUCCCCACACUUAUAGCAACCUCUGCCCGGAAUGACUAUGUGGCAUAAAACAGACCUUGUGAACAAGAAUAUCCACCAAAAAAAGUUGGUAUAGAUAAACUCUAAAUAAUUGGAGCGCGAUGAGAAAUCUCUUCUAUAAGUGCACUGAAUAAAUACUGCACUGGAGCUCCUCGACAAGGUGGUGGUGCAUGAUAAGAUGGCCUCCUAGAAUGGCCUCUCCUAAAUUAACCUCGGCGUCCACAUGAGGCACCACUGAAGCUACCUGAAUGUCGGGACCUCUUUUCCCUGCCUUGCAUCAUCUCUCUAGUCUCAUUGCAGAUGCGCUAAAUACGAUGUUCUAUAUCCACAUCCUAGUGAAAUAAAGCCCCGAUAUCUGCCUCCCUAGCCAUAGCGCAAAUGCCGUGGUGAAUAUAAUCAAAGAUUCUCUUCACUCUCUCCUCAUUAGAGGGAAACAAAAUACAGCAUGUCACGACCCAAAACUCAACAUGUCAUCAUGGCGCCUAUCACAAAACUAGGCAAGCCGACAAUCACAAAUAACUAUACAUUUUGAAUUGAAAACAUGAUGAAAUAAGUUUAACAGUGACAAUUCUCAUAAUAACCGAUAAGAAUAUACCGUGACUCAAUAAAAAUCCCUAAAAUUCGGGUGUCAAUGAGUACAUGAGCUACUAAAAUGUCAACACAGUCAAAACUGCUAAUACAACUGUAUAGAAAGAUAGAACAAUGCUAAAUAAACUGAAAAGAAGGAGAGUCGAGGUGUGCGGAUGCCAAAGCAGCUACCUUAAAAGUCUUCAAGCAGAUGAAGCUCCAGAUCUAGCAACCGCCAUGUCCGGAUACAUAUGGAUAUACACACAAAGUGCAAAGUAUAGUAUGAGUACAACCGACCUAAUUUACUCAAUAAGUAACAGGACUAACCUUGAGUUGAAUGCAGUGAUGAGCUCAGAAAGGUACAGUCAAAUCCAGAUAAUAACAAUGCAGAUAUGACACGAAAAUGACAGUAAUAACUCAAAGAAGAUCUCAUAAUCAGUUUGUAAACAGUAUAGAAAUGUAGACAUGCUUUCAAGUUUUUAAUUGUUUAAGCUCAACACGGAUAAAAUAUGCCAAGUAUGACCAAUAUGAGGUAUGUUACAUCUCGAUAUCUACAUGUCAAAUAUACAUGUCAAUUAUAAUGCAACACAGUGAUAAGGCCAUAUACUAAUACUCUCAGAGUA
Long non-coding RNA from Nicotiana tabacum (common tobacco), 3229 nucleotides. RefSeq lists it as uncharacterized. The record is from RefSeq and is a predicted model, not a curated record. NCBI's taxonomy places the organism in Eukaryota, Viridiplantae, Streptophyta, Magnoliopsida, Solanales, Solanaceae.